This is a non-coding RNA of Vicia faba (fava bean), 369 nucleotides long. NCBI's taxonomy places the organism in Eukaryota, Viridiplantae, Streptophyta, Magnoliopsida, Fabales, Fabaceae. The record is from the annotation of a GenBank genome assembly.
UCCGAGACUUUACAAAUUCUAAAAAAAAUGUUUAGAAUUUACAAUAAGAUCUACUUCAUAUACAAUCAGAGGUACACAAAGAAUGCAGCACGUCAAAGAUCUUGUUACUUGAGAUUUCUAAGAUAUAUAAAGGUAAUAAAUCUCAAGACUAUGUGUAAUACAACCAAUAUAUAUAAAGGAUUAGUGAUCAGAUCAGUUGUAAUUGUUGUUUUAAUGUCUUGUUUUUAUUCUUCCUUCAAAUCUUCAGCUCCUUAUGUAGAGGUAACACAAGAGACGUUGGAAAAUGACUUGCAUAAGUGUCUUUGCAAAAAAGCAGUUUUCAAGAGAGAGACGUUGGGAGUUGGUACUAUUAAGAUCUUCAUCUUCUGA